GGCUCAGGAUGAACGCUAGCUACAGGCUUAACACAUGCAAGUCGAGGGGAAACGACAUCGAAAGCUUGCUUUUGAUGGGCGUCGACCGGCGCACGGGUGAGUAACGCGUAUCCAACCUGCCCACCACUUGGGGAUAACCUUGCGAAAGUAAGACUAAUACCCAAUGAUAUCCCACGGACGGCAUCUGAUGUGGAACAAAGAUUCAUCGCUAUGGGAUGGGGAUGCGUCUGAUUAGCUUGUUGGCGGGGUAACGGCCCACCAAGGCAACGAUCAGUAGGGGUUCUGAGAGGAAGGUCCCCCACAUUGGAACUGAGACACGGUCCAAACUCCUACGGGAGGCAGCAGUGAGGAAUAUUGGUCAAUGGGCGAGAGCCUGAACCAGCCAAGUAGCGUGCAGGACGACGGCCCUAUGGGUUGUAAACUGCUUUUAUAAGGGAAUAAAGUGAGUCUCGUGAGACUUUUUGCAUGUACCUUAUGAAUAAGGACCGGCUAAUUCCGUG
This 500-nucleotide ribosomal RNA is filed under the name uncultured bacterium. RNAcentral's name for it is "bacterial SSU rRNA". It matches the Rfam family "Bacterial small subunit ribosomal RNA", at positions 21 to 507 of the family's 1533-position model. The record is from RNAcentral.